GGAAGUAAAAGUCUAACAAGGUCUCCGUUGGUGAACCAGCGGAGGGAUCAUUACCGAGUUUACAACUCCCAAACCCCAUGUGAACCUUACCAAACGUUGCUUCGGCGGGAUGCCCCGGGCGCGGGCCGCAAGGCCUCAGCCCCGGAACCAGGCGCCCGCCGGAGGCCCAAACCAAACUCUUGUUUUUGUAGAAUCUUCUGAGUGGCCUUUUAGGCAAAAAAUGAAUCAAAACUUUCAACAACGGAUCUCUUGGUUCUG
Molecule: unclassified non-coding RNA, 258 nt
Filed under: plant metagenome
Description: partial contains small subunit ribosomal RNA, internal transcribed spacer 1, and 5.8S ribosomal RNA
Rfam family: Eukaryotic small subunit ribosomal RNA (bases 1-53)
Source: RNAcentral